UAUGCAUGACGUAGGGCUACACAUGCAGUCGAACGGCAGCACAGAGGAGCUUGCUCCUUGGGUGGCGAGUGGCGGACGGGUGAGGAAUACAUCGGAAUCUACUUUUUCGUGGGGGAUAACGUAGGGAAACUUACGCUAAUACCGCAUACGACCUACGGGUGAAAGCAGGGGACCUUCGGGCCUUGCGCGAUUGAAUGAGCCGAUGUCGGAUUAGCUAGUUGGCGGGGUAAGGGCCCACGGGAGGCGCCGAUCCGUAGCGGGUUUAGGAGAGCGAUGAUCAGCCAUACUGGAACUGAGACUCGGUCGAGACUCGUACGGUAGGCAGCAGUGGGGAUGAUCAGACAGUGGGAGCAUGCUUGAUCCAGCCCAUACGGCGUGGGUGACGAAGCCCUCCGGCAUGUAAUGCCGUUUGGUUGGAAAAGAAAUCGAGCCGUCUAAUACCUGGUUGGGAUGACGGUACCAAAAGAAUAAGCACCGGCUAACUUCGUGCCAGCAGCCGCGGUAAUACGAAGGGUGCAAGCGUUACUCGGAAUUACUGGGCGUAAAGCGUGCGUAGGUGGUUGUUUAAGUCUGUUGUGAAAGCCCUGGGCUCAACCUGGGAACUGCAGUGGAAACUGGACGACUAGAGUGUGGUAGAGGGUAGCGGAAUUCCCGGUGUAGCAGUGAAAUGCGUAGAGAUCGGGAGGAACAUCCAUGGCGAAGGCAGCUACCUGGACCAACACUGACACUGAGGCACGAAAGCGUGGGGAGCAAACAGGAUUAGAUACCCUGGUAGUCCACGCCCUAAACGAUGCGAACUGGAUGUUGGGUGCAAUUUGGCACGCAGUAUCGAAGCUAACGCGUUAAGUUCGCCGCCUGGGGAGUACGGUCGCAAGACUGAAACUCAAAGGAAUUGACGGGGGCCCGCACAAGCGGUGGAGUAUGUGGUUUAAUUCGAUGCAACGCGAAGAACCUUACCUGGCAUUGACAUGUCGAGAUCUUUCGAGAGAUGGAUUGGUGCUUUCGGGCACUCGAUCACAGGUGCUGCAUGCCUGUCGUCAGCUCGUGUCAUGAGAUGUAGGGUGCAGUCCUGCAGCGAGCGCACGCCUUGUCACUAGCUGCCAGCACGUAAUGGUGGUGACUCUAUGGAGACCGCCCGUGACAGCAGGGGCGGACGGCGUCCGCCAUAAGGUCAAGCCAGUCUCAGCACUCCUCGGCGCAUGGCUGCACUCGGACAUAGCAUUCGGAGGGACAGAGGGCUGCAAGCCGGCGACGGUAAGCCAAUCCCAGAAACCCCAUCUCAGUCCGGAUUGGAGUCUGCAACUCGACUCCAUGAAGUCGGAAUCGCUAGUAAUCGCAGAUCAGCAUUGCUGCGGUGAAUACGUUCCCGGGCCUUGUACACACCGCCCGUCACACCAUGGGAGUUUGUUGCACCAGAAGCAGGUAGCUUAACCUUCGGGAGGGCGCUUGCCACGGUGUGGCCGAUGACUGGGGUGAAGUCGAACAUGAGCUGUACAACGAAACCC
This 1505-nucleotide ribosomal RNA is filed under the name Stenotrophomonas maltophilia. RNAcentral describes it as "bacterial SSU rRNA". It matches the Rfam family "Bacterial small subunit ribosomal RNA". Lineage: Bacteria; Pseudomonadati; Pseudomonadota; Gammaproteobacteria; Lysobacterales; Lysobacteraceae. The record is from RNAcentral.